Molecule: ribosomal RNA, 2759 nt
Filed under: Klebsiella quasivariicola
Lineage: Bacteria; Pseudomonadati; Pseudomonadota; Gammaproteobacteria; Enterobacterales; Enterobacteriaceae
Description: 23S ribosomal RNA
Rfam family: Bacterial large subunit ribosomal RNA
Source: RNAcentral
CACUAUCGUUAACUGAAUACAUAGGUUAACGAGGCGAACCGGGGGAACUGAAACAUCUAAGUACCCCGAGGAAAAGAAAUCAACCGAGAUUCCCCCAGUAGCGGCGAGCGAACGGGGAGCAGCCCAGAGUCUGAAUCAGCUUGUGUGUUAGUGGAACGGUCUGGAAAGUCCGACGGUACAGGGUGAUAGUCCCGUACACCAAAAUGCACAGGCUGUGAACUCGAAGAGUAGGGCGGGACACGUGGUAUCCUGUCUGAAUAUGGGGGGACCAUCCUCCAAGGCUAAAUACUCCUGACUGACCGAUAGUGAACCAGUACCGUGAGGGAAAGGCGAAAAGAACCCCGGCGAGGGGAGUGAAAAAGAACCUGAAACCGUGUACGUACAAGCAGUGGGAGCCUCUUUAUGGGGUGACUGCGUACCUUUUGUAUAAUGGGUCAGCGACUUAUAUUCUGUAGCAAGGUUAACCGUAUAGGGGAGCCGCAGGGAAACCGAGUCUUAACUGGGCGUUAAGUUGCAGGGUAUAGACCCGAAACCCGGUGAUCUAGCCAUGGGCAGGUUGAAGGUUGGGUAACACUAACUGGAGGACCGAACCGACUAAUGUUGAAAAAUUAGCGGAUGACUUGUGGCUGGGGGUGAAAGGCCAAUCAAACCGGGAGAUAGCUGGUUCUCCCCGAAAGCUAUUUAGGUAGCGCCUCGUGAACUCAUCUUCGGGGGUAGAGCACUGUUUCGGCUAGGGGGUCAUCCCGACUUACCAACCCGAUGCAAACUACGAAUACCGAAGAAUGUUAUCACGGGAGACACACGGCGGGUGCUAACGUCCGUCGUGAAGAGGGAAACAACCCAGACCGCCAGCUAAGGUCCCAAAGUCAUGGUUAAGUGGGAAACGAUGUGGGAAGGCCCAGACAGCCAGGAUGUUGGCUUAGAAGCAGCCAUCAUUUAAAGAAAGCGUAAUAGCUCACUGGUCGAGUCGGCCUGCGCGGAAGAUGUAACGGGGCUAAACCAUGCACCGAAGCUGCGGCAGCGACACUAUGUGUUGUUGGGUAGGGGAGCGUUCUGUAAGCCUGUGAAGGUGGCCUGUGAGGGCUGCUGGAGGUAUCAGAAGUGCGAAUGCUGACAUAAGUAACGAUAAAGCGGGUGAAAAGCCCGCUCGCCGGAAGACCAAGGGUUCCUGUCCAACGUUAAUCGGGGCAGGGUGAGUCGACCCCUAAGGCGAGGCCGAAAGGCGUAGUCGAUGGGAAACAGGUUAAUAUUCCUGUACUUGGUGUUACUGCGAAGGGGGGACGGAGAAGGCUAUGUCAUCCGGGCGACGGUUGUCCCGGUUUAAGCAUGUAGGCUGGUUAUCCAGGCAAAUCCGGAUAAUCAAGGCUGAGGUGUGAUGACGAGGUACCACGGUACUGAAGUGACAGAUGCCCUGCUUCCAGGAAAAGCCUCUAAGCAUCAGGUAACAUCAAAUCGUACCCCAAACCGACACAGGUGGUCAGGUAGAGAAUACCAAGGCGCUUGAGAGAACUCGGGUGAAGGAACUAGGCAAAAUGGUGCCGUAACUUCGGGAGAAGGCACGCUGGUGUGUAGGUGAAGUCCCUGCGGAUGGAGCUGAGACCAGUCGAAGAUACCAGCUGGCUGCAACUGUUUAUUAAAAACACAGCACUGUGCAAACACGAAAGUGGACGUAUACGGUGUGACGCCUGCCCGGUGCCGGAAGGUUAAUUGAUGGGGUUAUCCGUAAGGAGAAGCUCUUGAUCGAAGCCCCGGUAAACGGCGGCCGUAACUAUAACGGUCCUAAGGUAGCGAAAUUCCUUGUCGGGUAAGUUCCGACCUGCACGAAUGGCGUAAUGAUGGCCAGGCUGUCUCCACCCGAGACUCAGUGAAAUUGAACUCGCUGUGAAGAUGCAGUGUACCCGCGGCAAGACGGAAAGACCCCGUGAACCUUUACUAUAGCUUGACACUGAACAUUGAGCCUUGAUGUGUAGGAUAGGUGGGAGGCUUUGAAGCGUGGACGCCAGUCUGCGUGGAGCCAACCUUGAAAUACCACCCUUUAAUGUUUGAUGUUCUAACGUUGGCCCCUUAUCGGGGUUGCGGACAGUGUCUGGUGGGUAGUUUGACUGGGGCGGUCUCCUCCCAAAGCGUAACGGAGGAGCACGAAGGUUAGCUAAUCCUGGUCGGACAUCAGGAGGUUAGUGCAAUGGCAUAAGCUAGCUUGACUGCGAGCGUGACGGCGCGAGCAGGUGCGAAAGCAGGUCAUAGUGAUCCGGUGGUUCUGAAUGGAAGGGCCAUCGCUCAACGGAUAAAAGGUACUCCGGGGAUAACAGGCUGAUACCGCCCAAGAGUUCAUAUCGACGGCGGUGUUUGGCACCUCGAUGUCGGCUCAUCACAUCCUGGGGCUGAAGUAGGUCCCAAGGGUAUGGCUGUUCGCCAUUUAAAGUGGUACGCGAGCUGGGUUUAGAACGUCGUGAGACAGUUCGGUCCCUAUCUGCCGUGGGCGCUGGAGAAUUGAGGGGGGCUGCUCCUAGUACGAGAGGACCGGAGUGGACGCAUCACUGGUGUUCGGGUUGUCAUGCCAAUGGCACUGCCCGGUAGCUAAAUGCGGAAGAGAUAAGUGCUGAAAGCAUCUAAGCACGAAACUUGCCCCGAGAUGAGUUCUCCCUGAGACUAUAAGUCUCCUGAAGGAACGUUGAAGACGACGACGUUGAUAGGCCGGGUGUGUAAGCGCAGCGAUGCGUUGAGCUAACCGGUACUAAUGAACCGUGAGGCUUAACCUU